This 71-nucleotide transfer RNA is filed under the name Candidatus Neomicrothrix parvicella. RNAcentral's name for it is "tRNA-Cys". It matches the Rfam family "tRNA". From Rfam's summary of the family: Transfer RNA (tRNA) molecules are approximately 80 nucleotides in length. Their secondary structure includes four short double-helical elements and three loops (D, anti-codon, and T loops). The record is from RNAcentral. Lineage: Bacteria; Bacillati; Actinomycetota; Acidimicrobiia; Acidimicrobiales; Microthrixaceae. RNAcentral also lists the same sequence under 4 other names.
GGCCACGUGGCCGAGUGGUUAGGCAGAGGCCUGCAAAGCCUUGUACACCGGUUCGAAUCCGGUCGUGGCCU